This 447-nucleotide ribosomal RNA is filed under the name uncultured bacterium. RNAcentral's name for it is "partial 16S ribosomal RNA". It matches the Rfam family "Bacterial small subunit ribosomal RNA", at positions 329 to 792 of the family's 1533-position model. The record is from RNAcentral.
UGCCAGACUCCUACGGGAGGCAGCAGUGGGGGAUAUUGCACAAUGGGGGGAACCCUGAUGCAGCGACGCCGCGUGGGUGAAGGAGCGUUUCGGCGCGUAAAGCCCUAUCGGCAGGGAAGAAGGAGGACGGUACCUGACUAAGAAGCCCCGGCUAACUACGUGCCAGCAGCCGCGGUAAUACGUAGGGGGCGAGCGUUAUCCGGAUUUACUGGGUGUAAAGGGAGCGUAGACGGCCAUGCAGGCCUGAUGUGAAAGGUGUGGGCACGACCCGCACACUGCAUUGGGAACUGUAUGGCUAGAGUGUUGGAGGGGCAGGCGGAAUUCCUGGUGUAGCGGUGAAAUGCGCAGAUAUCAGGAGGAACACCGGUGGCGAAGGCGGCCUGCUGGACGACGACUGACGUUGAGGCUCGAGAGCGUGGGGAGCGAACAGGAUUAGAUACCCCCGUA